UCUCCAGAAUCUCUGCAUAAGACU
RNAcentral lists this non-coding RNA (24 nucleotides) under Cricetulus griseus (Chinese hamster). Lineage: Eukaryota; Metazoa; Chordata; Mammalia; Rodentia; Cricetidae. The record is from RNAcentral.